Molecule: ribosomal RNA, 403 nt
Filed under: uncultured bacterium
Lineage: Bacteria
Description: bacterial SSU rRNA
Rfam family: Bacterial small subunit ribosomal RNA
Source: RNAcentral
UAGGGAAUAUUGCAAAAUGGGCGAAAGCCCGAUGCAGCAACGCCGCGUGGGCGAUGAAGGCCUUCGGGUCGUAAAGCCCUUUUUGAGGGGAUGAGGAAGGACAGUACCCUCAGAAUAAGCCUCGGCUAACUACGUGCCAGCAGCCGCGGUAAAACGUAGGAGGCGAGCGUUAUCCGGAUUUACUGGGCGUAAAGCGCGUGCAGGCGGAUUGGAGAGUUGGAUGUGAAAGCUCCCGGCUUAACUGGGAGAGGUCGUUCAAUACUUCCAGUCUUGAGUGCAGUAGAGNGAAGUGGAAUUCCGGGUGUAGUGGUGAAAUGCGUAGAUAUCCGGAGGAACACCAGUGGCGAAAGCGGCUUCCCGGACUGUAACUGGCGCUCAGACGCGAAAGCUAGGGUAGCAAACG